AUGAAAUUGAAGGUAUACAUUGGACUAGAUUAUAUUUUUCAGUACUUGAAAAUGACUGAGAAUCAAUAGGACUUAUCUGGGAUGUUAUGGAGAGAUGGGGAAGUAAGAUUCAGAAGAGUGUAUUUGAAGUGAUGAAAAGAAAUUAAAGUGUUUUUCCCAUUGAGUUCAGUGUAUUUGAUGAUUUUCUUGGUUUGAUAGGAUUUUAAUUUAGUUGAAAAAACCCUUAGUGAGUACCUACAAUAUGUAAGUUACUCUGUUAAACAUUUUGGGGCAGGCAAAGGUGACUAAUAUUUUCUGUCCUGAGGGAGUUUCUGCUUUAGUGUAAGUAGGUAAACCUAUUCCAUAGCAGAGUGUCAAAGAGACUCUGGACCUGUGCUAUGCGAAUGUGAAUACCACUAAGGUUCAGGGCAAGUUUUGUGGGGGAGGCUGAAUAUGGGCCAGGCUUUGAAGGACGGAUGGUAAUAGCUGGGAAGAAGGGCAUUCUAGCAUGAGGGAAUAAUCAAAAGUGUGGAAUUAGGAAUGAAUUGAUGACUGGGAGGAAAUAAUGCUCAUCCACAAUGAAAAUUUUACUUUUGGAAAAAUGGUUUCAGUCACCAGUUAAACAUGCUUGCCCAUGUUAUAAUUCUGGUUGAAGUUUGUUUUUCUUACAUGUCAUUUUUGCAUUUCAUAGUAAUGCAGAAGGUAUCUUCCUUUAUGAGAUAUAACAUGGAAACAUUAUUCACUUUAAAACCUAGCUAAUUAUAAGCACCAAACCCAAAUUUCUAAGUCGAAUCACAAAGUCCAUUACUUUCCUUGAUUUAAAACAGUAAAAUGUAGAGAAGAUGAUGAUUUUUACAUAUGAUCUUAAGCAUUUGGCAGUGCAAUUAGUUUCAUAACAAGUGAUUGUUUUUUAAAGCCUUCCCAGAAUAAGAAUGAGUAUCUUGAUGUUAGUGUCACUUUUAAAUAGCUAUAGCUCCAGGAAUGUGUCUGUUCACGUUGUUAUCUUAAAUACACACCUUAUCUAUCCAUAUUGCUAUACUUUAGAUGUGGAAUUUUACAGACACACACACACACACACACUCACAUGCACACACGCACACACACACACCAUGAUACCCAGUGGUUUACUUUGCCUUCCCAAAAAAUCUUUAUAAGAGUUUUUUUCCCUCUGAACUCCAGACACAUAUCCAGUUGUCUUGUGAUACCUCCAUAUGGAUAUUUAAAGAUACUUAAAUGUAAAAAUGCUCAAGAUGCAAUUGAUCUUUUUAUCCAUACUUGUUUCAUCUUUAGUCUAUCUAAGUUAUUGACAAUUACAUUCAUGUUACUCAGACUAAAAACCUUGGCAUCAUUCCUGACUCCUCCCUCUCACAUCUACACCUUAUCUGUCAAUAGUUUAUGUUGUCUUUCCUGGAAAUACAACUAGAAUCUGAAUCUGACAAUCUCUUACCACCUGCACUACUGCCUGGUCCAACUUAUUAUCAUCUUUUACUUGGAUUAUUUUAAGUCUCCUCACUGGGCUUCUAGCUUCCUCUUAGAAUCCUCAACCCAUAACCUAGCACAUCAGUCUAGUCUCAGUGCAGUAGCCAGAAUAAUCACAGUUAAAACAUAAGUCAAAUGCGGUCAUUCUUCAAUUCACAACUUUGUUUCCUUUCUUAUUCGCUGUAAAAACUAAAGUCUUUCUGGUUGCCUUUAAGGCUCUACAUGAUCUUGUCCCAUUUGCAGCCUCAUCUUUUGAAUGGUCUUGUUUACUGACUCCAGCUGACACCAUUCCUUGAAUAGGCCUCCUGUUUUCCUUCUAGGCCUUUGCAUUUGCCCUUCUCUUUGCCUGGAAUGCUCCCCCCCCCCCCAUAACUGCUUAGCCUGUUCCUUAAUCCUUCUUGAGUCUUUAUUGAAAUAUUACAUUCUUAGACCUUCCAUGACUAUCUUAUUUAAAAUAUCCCCUUCCUUCCACUUGUUUUAUUUUUCUGGUUAGCACUUUGCCAAACUUACUGUAUAUUUUCCAUUUUUUUUUUUUUUUUCGUCUUUUUGCCUCUUCUAGGGCGGCUCCCGCGGCAUAUGGAGGUUCCCAGGCUAGGGGUCGAAUUAGCACUAUAGCUGAUGGCCUACACCAGGGCCACAGCAAUGCUGGAUCCAAGCCGAGCCGCAUCUUUGACCUACACCACAGCUCAUGGCAACGCCAGGUCCUUAACCCACUGAACAAGGGCAGGGAUCAAACCCGCAACCUCAUGGCUCCUAGUCAGGUUCGUUAACCACUGUGCCACGACGGGAACUCCAAUUUUACUUUUUUAUGGUCAGUGUUUUCCUUUUCCUUUUAGGAUAAAAGUUUGAUGAAGGCAAGGGUUUUAUUUUGUUUACUCCUAUCCCACCCCACUUAGAAUCAUGCUUAGUGCAUAGUUCAUACUUGAAUACAUGAUUGAUUGCAUGAAUAAAAUAAAAUAAUAAACUUAGUAUGUAGGAGUUAAACCGGUAGUAAAACUUGAUGUGCCCUUACUGGCAUCUUUGGGCAAUUAUGAUAUUUCCAAAUGUCUGAAUGUUACUUUUCCUUUUGAAUUUUUAAAUCAAGUGUAUUGGGAUAAAAUUUACAUAUAAUAAAAGGAUCUUAUUUUAAAUUUACAGUUCAGUAAAUUUUGACAGAUGUACACACCUAUGUAAGUACUGUUAUAAUCAAGGUAUAAUCGCAUCACUUCAAACAGUUGCCUUGUGUCUCUUUGCAAUCACUUCUUCCCUCCCUCAUGCUUAUUUCCAGACAACUAUUGAUCUGAUUUUUGUCACUAAGAAUUAGUUUUUCCUGCUCUAGACUUUCAUAUAAAUAGAAUCACAUAUGAGGUACUUUUUUCAUCAUGAUGUUUUUGAAGCUUCCUAUGUUAUUGUAUGCCCUGGUAGUUAGUUCCUUUUCACUGCUGAAUAGGUUUCAUUGUAUAAAUGUGCCACAACUUGCUUUUCCACUUACAUGUUCAUGGACAUUUAGGGUGUUUCCUAUAGGGAAUAAGCUACUGUGAAUGCUCACGUACAGAUCUUUGUUUCUUAUGCUUUAAUUCUUCUGGGUCAGUUACCCAGGAGUAGAAUUUUAGUGACAUAUGAUACGUGUAUGUUUUAACUUCGUAAGAAACUGUCAGACUGUUUUCAAAGUGAUUGUACCAUAUUCUCCCCAAUUAUGUGAAAGUUCUAGUUGCUCCACAUUCUGGCCAGCGCUUGAUGUUAUCAUUCUUUUAAUUAGAUAUUCCAGUGGCUCACUAUAGCUCUAAUUUGCAUUUCUUUAUUUACUAGUGACGUUGAUUGUUUCAUUUACUUAUUGACCAUUUGUUUAUCUUCUUUUGUGAAGUAGCUAUUCACAUCUUUUGUCCAGUAAAACAAAAUUGGAUUGUUUGUCUUCUUGUCUUUCAGUUUUAAGAGUUCUUUAUAUAUCUGGAUACUAGUACUUUGUCAAACAUAUUUUCUCCUGGUCUAUAGAUUGUUAUUUUUCUUUCAUUAAUGGCGUCUUUUGAAAAGCAGAGAUUUUAAUUUUUAGUAAGCCCAUUUUAUCAGUGUUUCACCCCUUCUUCCAUCCUUGCCUCCCCUGUCCCUCCCUUCUCCAAGAAAACUUUGAUUAAUUCUAGGUGGUGAAGAUUUUCUCUUGUGUUUUCUUCUAAGUUUUAUAGGUUUGGUUGAGAUCAUGUGGCUGAGGACCCCAUUAUUGGGUUAGUGUCAGCCAGAAGACCUUCACCCAGCAACAAAAUUGGCACACCUUGAUCUUGGAUUUUCACAGCCUGCAGAACUAUGAGAAAUACAUUUCUAUUGUUGAGUCAGCUAGUCUGUGGUGCUUUGUUAUGGCAACUGGAGCUAAGACAGGGGACAGUGUAACAUCCUUGUCAGAUUUUGGUAUCAAGGUAAUGAUCAUUUAAUUAGAAAAGUCAUUUGACAAAAUACAAUACCCUUUUAUAAUUAAAACACUUAAACUAGAAAAAAGCAAAACCAUCUCUUUGCAGAUGACAAGAUCUUCUUUAUAGAAAGUCUUAAGGAAUCCAUUAAAAUCUAUUGUAAUCAGUAAAUUAUCAUCAAAUUGCAAAGUACAAGAGCAAUAUACAAAAAUUAAUUGUAUUUCUGUACAAUAGCAGUGAACAAUAUAAAAGUGAAAUUGAGAAAACAAGUCUAUUUACAAUAGCAACAAACGAUCAAACAGAAACAAUUUUAACAAAAGCAGUGGAAGAAUUGCUGGAAAAAGUUGAAAUAGUUUUUAAUUGAGGACAGGCACUAUUUAUGGUGGCAUGGGUGAACCACAUAAGCCCUCAAUAACCUGUGUACAAAUGAUAGGCAGAUGGAUAUUUUCUGUCUGCCAUGAGUAAGUCUGGAAAUGGGUGUCAUGGUAGAAACAAGGAGGACCGCUUGGGUGUUGGUUGCCCUUUUAGAUUCUCAGAAGCCUAUAUCUAGGUGUAUAAAUUAGGGAGGACCCAGUGUGCUUUUGCUUAGCCCAACUUUCACUGACUGAGCAAUCUAUUUUCAGAUACUUCUUCAGAUAGUGGAUGUCGUCCGUCAUUGCUUAAUUUUACACACUCUUCCACUUAUUUAUACACACUGUCAUUUGCUGAGGUCAUCCCUUCAAAAAAUACUUUCUAGAGGACCCGGGAUGUGCUGGGUGCUAGUGCUGGCACUAAAAUGAUAAAAAAGACAAGCCUCCUGGAGGAGUGAUAAUGGCCAUCAGAAGUCUUGAUUAGUGAUUUGAGGCCACAGUUUAAGGAACCCGGCAUUUACCACUUAUAUUUGCUCCAAAAGCAUGGACCUCAUAAUAGAGUUCCUAGGAAAUGGAAUGAUAAACUGGAACUAUUAGCUUAGGUGUCAGUAUUCAACAGAUGCUUCUGUAUCCCAAGGAAGUACCAUGACAUAAACAGAAUUGUGAAAAGUUAGUUUUGUGACCUUUGAAACCCUUCACUCAAAUAGAGGAUAUCAGAAGAGAGAGAUUUCAUUAGGUGAAUUUUUCUGGAAUGCUGUGUGUUUUAGUCCUGCCUUUUGCAAGUAGGGGAUCUGAAUUAAGCCAAGAGGAGUUGCAGCUCUAGAACAUGGGUCUGCAGUUGGGAUCACAAGGGCCUGAUGCUUUGACCCCAUGCCUGUGAAAGCUUAAAUGUUCUGUGGCAGUGGGCUGGAUUUGAGAAGUAAUGGCACUGCUUUCUUUCAGCAGGUGAAAAGUAUAUGUAUGUAUCCCAGUAUAUGAAUACCGACCUGGUGUUAAUUGAAAAGAAAGCUGCCCAAGAAAGUUUUAUGCUAGGGAAGAAGAUCCUAGCAUUAAGGAGUUGUGGGGUGUAUGGCCCCGAGUCAGAAACUGAGGAGCCAUUGGGAUGGAGCUAAGGGACAGCAUUGCCCUGGCAGGAGUUUUGAAAUUGGAAGACUAUACGCUUGGAAGAAUGCAUAUACACUACCCAAGAGAAGGAAGAUCAGCUUUAAGCACCUGCCUUAAUCUACAUAGCCCUAGGUCAUUGUGGUACUGUAGCAGUUGAAGAAUUAUCCUGUUAUGUCUGACCUCUUCUCCCCUCCCUGACCUAGGUCCUGGUGAGCUCAGAAAAGAAAAAUUUCCUCCUGAGAAGAGGAGCUUGCUUGCCCCUUUCCUCACUGACAGUGGCCAGCUCUGGGCAGGCCCUAGCUGGAAAAUAUGGCUUAAUGGUAACUGUACUUUGGAGUUUUAACUAUUAUUUAGAUGUAGUCUUCUAAUUUUGAAAAAGUUCAAACCUACAGAAAUGUUGAAAUAGUAAUCUAGUAAACAUCUCAUGCCUUUUAUCAGCUAAUGACAUUUGGCUAUAAAAAUACAAGCAUAUUCUGUAUGCUUUUUUAUGGCCAGUGGAGUGGGGCUGAACCAUUUGAAAAUGACACUUUAGGGAGUUCUUGUCGUGUGUCAGCAGGUAACGAACACUAGUAUCCAUGAGGAAGCGGGAUUGAUCCCUGGCCUUGCUCAGUGGGUUAAGAAUCCAGCGUUGCUGUGAGAAGUGGUGUAGGUUGCAGGGACGGCUUGGAUCCUGCGUUGCUGUGGCUGUGGUGUAGGGGGCCGGUUGGACUCCUAGCCUGGGAACCUCCGUAUGUCU
This 6026-nucleotide long non-coding RNA is filed under the name Sus scrofa (pig). Its description in RNAcentral is "lncRNA (ENSSSCG00000054139.1)". Lineage: Eukaryota; Metazoa; Chordata; Mammalia; Artiodactyla; Suidae. The record is from RNAcentral.